CUUCCUUCCAGCUUUGCCCAGAACAGGUCUUAAACAGGUAUAGAUUAAUUUACAUAAUCACCUUGGUGAAGCUUCCAUACUUUCCCAGUAGAGAAACAAAAGUAUAGCAUGCACCUAUCUGUAACACUGAAAGAUAUGAGAGCACAGUCAGUUUGGGAAUAUUCUCAGCUAGGCCUCAUUAAUAAAAUAAGGCUAAUGAUUUAUUCAUGUCCAGGACAAUAAGAGGACAAUGUGGAGCAGUUACAUUAACGAGCAAAGUUUGCUUCUACAGCCUGAAGAUCUGCAUUUGGUGCUAAAAACAGAGAGGGACAAGUCACAGUUAAAUUCUGCUGGCUUGACAGCAUUAGAAGAAAUCUCUGAUGAUGUCUUCAGCCACUCCAGCCACACCUACAAGUGUAUCUGUCUGCUCUUCUUCCCUCAUCAGUGCACUUACCCAGACUGUGGGGAACCAAGACGCAGGUUCUCAUC
This is a long non-coding RNA of Gallus gallus (chicken), 468 nucleotides long. The record is from Ensembl. Lineage: Eukaryota; Metazoa; Chordata; Aves; Galliformes; Phasianidae.